AUUGAACGCUGGCGGCAUGCCUUACACAUGCGAGUCGAACGGUAACAGGUUAAGCUGACGAGUGGCGAACGGGUGAGUAAUAUAUCGGAACGUGCCCAGUCGUGGGGGAUAACGUAGCGAAAGCUACGCUAAUACCGCAUACGAUCUACGGAUGAAAGCGGGGGAUCGCAAGACCUCGCGCGAUUGGAGCGGCCGAUAUCGGAUUAGGUUGUUGGUGAGGUAAAAGCUCACCAAGCCUGCGAUCUGUAGCUGGUCUGAGAGGACGACCAGCCACACGGGAACUGAGACACGGUCCAGACUCCUACGGGAGGCAGCAGUGGGGAAUUUUGGACAAUGGACGCAAGUCUGAUCCAGCAAUGCCGCGUGCAGGACGAAGGCCUUCGGGUUGUAAACUGCUUUUGUACGGAACGAAACGGUGAGCUCUAAUACAGUUUGCUAAUGACGGUACCGUAAGAAUAAGCACCGGCUAACUACGUGCCAGCCGCCGCCGUAA
RNAcentral lists this ribosomal RNA (493 nucleotides) under uncultured bacterium. Its description in RNAcentral is "partial 16S ribosomal RNA". It matches the Rfam family "Bacterial small subunit ribosomal RNA", at positions 30 to 523 of the family's 1533-position model. The record is from RNAcentral.